ACGCUCGACACCUACGGGGGGCAGCAGUGGGGAAUAUUGCACAAUGGGGGAAACCCUGAUGCAGCGACGCCGCGUGGAGGAAGAAGGUCUUCGGAUUGUAAACUCCUGUUGUUGGGGAAAAAGAGGAUGGUACCCAACAAGGAAGUGACGGCUAACUACGUGCCAGCAGCCGUGGUAAUCUGAGCGGGCUGGCAAGGC
Molecule: ribosomal RNA, 198 nt
Filed under: uncultured bacterium
Lineage: Bacteria
Description: partial 16S ribosomal RNA
Rfam family: Bacterial small subunit ribosomal RNA
Source: RNAcentral